UGUGAAAUUUACACAGUAUACCUGCUUGAAAAUCUUGCUGCUAGAUCCAUUAUAAGAAACAAACACAUACCCAGCACACCUACACUCUUUCUUUGAAGCAAAAGAUUUGAAUUACUGUAUUACAAAUACUCAAGAAAACAUUUAUUCAAGUAUACUAAGUAAUUGCAUUAUACUGAGAAGAUGAAUAAAAUAUAUUUCUAUUUUAUUUGCUCAUCUGAACACAAAAUGCUCAAAAGGUGAGCUUUUGUGAAAGCAGUUUGUUCAUCAUCUAAAUUUCAACACUUUUUGAACAUUUUUCCAUACAGAUUUCAUGAUUUUAAAGCUAGAGAUCUGAAAAUUUGAGACAGAAUAGCUAGGUUCUUCUCCUUAUUAGUCCCCUACCGGUUUACCGGAGGGGACUUUAGGUUUACCGUCUGUCAGUCCGUCCGUCCACAAAACUGGAUCCCGCGAUAACGCAAAAAGUACUGAAAAUAUUUUUAUGAAACUUGAUAUAUGGAUAGAUGGUAACAAAUAGACUGAAAAUAUGCCAAAUUUUACACAUAAACUGAAUCCAGUGAUAAUGCAAAAAGAAAUGGAAAUAUUUUUAUGAAACUUGACAUAUGCGUAGAUGGCAGUCUGGAGAUUAUGCCUGUCUUUAUCUUUUCUUCCUAUUUUGAAAAAAUUGGUUGCCAUGGCAACAAAUAGGCAUAAAACAUGGUCAAUAUAACAAUAUUUGUGAUAAGUCAAAAAGAGCUGAAAAUUUUUAUGAAAUUGCAUCUUUAUUUCAAGAAUUAUCUCCUCUUUAAGAAUUUUGCUUUUAAAAAUGUUAUAUUUUGGUAACAGGGAUGUUUCAAAUAUUAACUUUAGAGUGUCCUUCAGUUCGUCUGUCUGUCUGUUCAUGGAAACUGUUUCCUGUGAUCACUUUUAAAGAACUUUUCCAACAAAUUUACUUACAAUAGAGAAAAAUUAAAACAUUAGUGAAUGGCCAUCACAUGGGUCAUCUCUGACGAAAAACUAGGUCACAGGAGCUAAAGAUAGAAAAAAUUUGUUAACUCUAGUGGCUACUGUUUUGAUCCAAAUAACCUGGAAAUUUGACUGCAAGUUUGUUUUGAUGAUUUCUAGGUCAAGUUCGAACAUGGGUCACCUGGGGUAAAAAACUAUGUCACAUUGCCCAGAUAUAAAAAAACAAACUUGUUAACACUCCAGUGGUCACAUUUUUGACUCAAUUGUCAUCAAACUUGGUGAGGAUGCUUGUCUAAGUAAUUGCUCAGAUGAGUUUGAUUGGUCAGGUGAGAGAUCAAGGGCCAUCUUGUUCCCCAAAGCUUUGAUAGUGACAUGUUGCAUUGCCUUGUGAACUCCUACAAAAAUGGUAGUAAUCAUGCCCCUUGGGUUAAUAUUGGUCUAGUGCUGGUGGUUGUAUGAUUUAUAUAGACUUAUGUAAGAAAACACAUUAAAGUCUUAUUGUGUGAAGCUAAAAUGCCCAUAGCUUAGUUAUUUAGUAUGUAGCAUUGUCCUGUGGACUCCCUCAAAACUAAAAUUAAUCUUGCCCAUUGGGUCAAUACUGCCCCUAUCCUCAAAUUCAUGCAAGUCAGAUUAAAGAGUAUAAAGCUAUAUCUUACGAAAUAUAUUUAUAAAAUUUAUCAACAGUAAAAUUAUAUUUAUUUAUUCCAUAAUCUUACGGUUGAUUCUCAAAUUAGUUGUAACAUAUUUUCUCUGUUAUUUAACACAUAAGUUAUAGAAAGAGCAUCGAAACACGAGUCUAUGUGAUUUUCUGAUUUGUACGAGGGUUCUUUCUCUUUUGUAUCAUAGUCAAACAUAAAAACACUCUCCCUGUUGUCACAAUAUGAAACCCCGGAGAAAAGUAACCAAUGAACAAGCAUCUAAAUAUAAUAUUUCUGUCGCUUUCCCUUUCUCUGCCGUCACAAUAAGUAAACCCCAUCAAAAAUGAGCCAAUCAAUGGGGAUGCUCUGGAGUGCGGGUAACUAAUACCUGCACUCCAGUUAACGCACAGUGCAUGUAUAUGUAUACGAUUUAACUCUGACACAUUUUCAACAGAAAGGUCCCCAAACUAUGAUACAAAUGUAUGUAAAAAUAAAAUGUUUCGGAACAUUAUAACAUUACAAAAUGUAUAUUUUUCUACUAUUUUAAGGCGUGUUUUAUCCAUGUGCAUGCGCCAUUCAAUUUAUGGCAAUUUUAUUUCAUACAAGCAUUUUGGAAUUACCCUUGUCCGUCCAUUCUCUUUUGUGUCGCACGUAGCUGAAAAGUAUUUAACCUAGAGUCAUAAAACUUUACAGGAAUGUUGACCAGCAUGUGUUGUUGUGCACCUGGGUAUUUUCGUGUGGAUAUAUUUAGAAUUUUUAGAGUUACUGCCCUUGAGUUAGUAAAAACUUACAAUUUUCCACUUGUGUCAAUUGUAACUCAAAAAGUAUUUGACCUAGAGUCAUGAAAUUUUACAGGAAUGUUGAUCAGCAAGUGAAGUUGUGCACCUUGGGUUUCGCUUGUGGAUCUAUUUAGUAUUUUUAGAUUUAUUGCCCUUAAAUUAGCAUAAAUUUGCAAUUUCCAACUCGUGUCACACGUAACUCAAAAAGUAUUUUACCUCGAGUCAUGAAACCUUACAGGAAUGUUGCUCAGCAUGUGAAGUUGUGCACCUUUGGUUUCGCUUGUGGAUGUAUUCUGUUUUGUAAGAGUAAUUAGCCUUGACUUAGUAAAAAUUUGCAAUUUUCAACUUGUGUCGCAUGUAGCUCAAAAAGUAUUUAACAUAGGGUCAUGAAACUUUACAGGAAUGUUGAUUAGCAUCUGUAGUUGUGCACCUGGUUAUUUUUGUGUGGAUAUAUUUAGAAUUUUUAGCUCGACUAUUCGAUAAGAAUAAGUAGAGCUAUUGUAGUCACCCGAGCGUCGGCGUAACCACUUACGUGUAAUACCUCAAAUAUUUUCAAAGUCCAUUGACAUAUGGCUUUGAAACUUUGCACACUUGUUCACCAUCAUGACCCCAACCUGUAGACAGGAGGAAGUAACUCUAUCAAGCAUUUUGACAGAAUUAUGCCCCUUUUUCGACUUAGAAUUUACGUUAAAGUUUUUGUAAUAGUUCAAAUAUUUUCAAAGUCCAUUGACAUAUGGCUUUGAAACUUUACACACUUGUUCACCAUCAUGACCCCAACCUGUAGACAGAUGGAAGUAACUCUAUCAAGCAUUUUGACAGAAUUAUGCGCCUUUUUCGACUUAGAAUUUACGUUAAAGUUUUUGUAAUAGUUCAAAUAUUUUCAAAGUCCAUUGACAUAUGGCUUUGAAACUUUGCACACUUGUUCACCAUCAUGACCCCAACCUGUAGACAGGAGGAAGUAACUCUAUCAAGCAUUUUGACAGAAUUAUGCCCCUUUUUCGACUUAGAAUUUACGUUAAAGUUUUUGUAAUAGUUCAAAUAUUUUCAAAGUCCAUUGACAUAUGGCUUUGAAACUUUGCACACUUGUUCACCAUCAUGACCCCAACCUGUAAACAGGAGGAGGUAACUGUAUCAAGCAUUUUAUUUUACUAUCAAGCACUAAGAAUAGUCGAGCGUUGCUGUCCUACCGACAGCUCUUGUUAGAGUUACUGCCCUUGAGUUAGUAAAAACUUACAAUUUUCCACUUGUGUCAAUUGUAACUCAAAAAGUAUUUGACCUAGAGUCAUGAAAUUUUACAGGAAUGUUGAUCAGCAUGUGAAGUUGUGAACCUGGGGUUUCGCUUGUGGGUUUAUUCUGUUUUUUCAGAGUUAUUGUCCUUGACUAAGUAAAAAUUUGCAAUUUUCUACUUGUGUCUUAUGUAGCUCAAAAAGUAUUUGACCUAGGGUCAUGAAACUUUACAGGAAUGUUGAUCAGCAUGUGUACUUGUGUACCUGAUGUUUCGCUUUUGGAUUUAUUCUGUUUUUUUCAGAGAUUUUGCCCUUGACUUAGUAAAAGUUUGCAAUUUUCAACUUGUGUCACACGUAGCUCUAAAACUAUUUGACAUAGGGUCAUGAAACUUUACGGGAAUGUUGAUCAUCAUGUGAAGUUGUGCAUCUGAGGUUUCGCUCUUGAAUUUAUACAUUUUGUCAGAGUUUCUGCCCUUGACUUAAUGAAAAUUUGCAAUUUUCAAUUUGUGUCGUUCGUAGCUCAAAAUGUAUUUAACCUGGAGUCAUGAAACUAAAAAAGGAAUGUUGGUCAUCAUAUGUAGUUGUGCACCUUGGGUUUCGCCUGUGGAUUUAUCCAGAAUUUGUAGAGUUAUUGCCCUUGACUUUGUAAAAACUGUUUCAUUAUGUUGUGUUAUUUGUUCCUUAAGUGCUUGAGUUAGAAUCAACCAACUUUACAGGAAUAAUGAUCAACUCAACAUCACUGUGAAGCUAUGCACCUGGGACUUUGCAUGUGGAUUUUUUUCAGUUUUGUUAGUUAUUUCUCUUGACUUACUGUAGUAUAAAUUAGCAAUUUUCAGCUUGUUCAUACAUAGCUCAAAAAGUAUUUGACCUGUAGGCCUAAAAGUUUACAAGAAUGUUAGUCAGCAUUAGUACUUAUGCACCUUGGGGUUCACUUGUGGAUUCAUUCAGUAUUUGUAAAGGUCUUGCCCUUUACUUAGUCAAAGAUUUUUAGUUUUCAAUUUGUGGCACAUGUAGCCCAAAAAAACAAUUGACUUAGAGUCAUAAGAUUGACAAAACAGUGGAGUGUGGGGGGUACCUGUGUCCUAUGGACACAUUUCUAGUUUCUUCUUUUUUUUAAUUCAACCAAUAAUUUUUGAAGCAGAUAAAGCUUUAUACAUUUGAAUUCUACAUUUUCCAUAUUCUGUUUCAACAAUUGUUUCUUUGUCUUUUGUGUGUGACAUUCAUGCCCCUCAAUGGCCAAGGUCAGGGUCACAUGUAGAGGUCAAAGGUCAUUAAUAUAUAUGAGAAUGUGUGUAUGGACAAUUUUGUAGUCUUUAGUUGAGGUAUUUUUUCACAAAUGUUCACAAUUAUUUGACUGAGUAUUGCCAGCAUAAUUUAAGUUAAACUUCAUCAGCAAUGAUUAAAUGUAUAGUGUUUCUUUUUGAGCAUAUCUUCUAUAUGCAACAACGAAUCUGAGUAUUUUUCUGACACAAAUGUUGACCAUGAAACAGUUCUCUAAUCAAAGGUCAAGGUCGAUCUGUGCGUUCAGAGGAACAGGUCUCUAAUCAAAGGUCAAGGUCAAUCUUUGAGUUCAGAGGAAAACACCUCUCUGUAGUGAAAUUUUAUAUUACAUAGAGGGAUUGUUAUAUGAAUUAGAACAGAUGUUCAACAUUGUAAGUGUUGUGCCCAAAGUUUAGGUCCCUUUUGUCAAGGUAAAGGUCAGGUGUAGAGGUCCAACCGAAAGUCGGAUAAAAAUAUUGUUUAAGUCAUCAUGAACUGUUGAAAUUUAAUGUAAGUGUUUCCAACAAUGAGGUUGAGCAUUAAUUUUGUAAAGGGUGUAUUUUGUGACAAAUUGGCUCUCUUGUUUGCUAACAGUUAACUGCCAGCUACUGUAUGAGUUUACUUUAAAAAUACACAAGUAUAAUAUUGAUAUAGCAAAGAAUAAAGCAAGAAUAUUUAUAAUUUGGUUAUGUGUGGAAUGUCAGGGAAUGAUAGCAUCUAGAAUUUAUCUCUGCAAAUAUUGAGAUUUUAAGAGACUUCCCAGAAAAUAUUCUUAAGCAGUGUAAGAUGACCACCUAGGUCAACUGUUACAGAUACCUUUACCUUACGUUUUUCUUUGAAAAGUGCAUUAAUAUAUUUUACAAAAUAUCUACCUCUUAAAACUUAUAUUUUAUAUCUUUAUAUUUUAUAUCUUAUGGAAUAUAGUAAGCAUGUGUAACAUAGCAUUUCCUUGUCUAAAUGCUUUAAAGGAAUAAUUAUGAAUAAUUUCAAUAUUAUUAAUUAAUCUUACAUUUUUAACAGUUAUGAAAAGAUUUUCAUGUUAAAUAAAUAUUUUUAUAUAAAUUACUUUUAGAUUCUCAACUAAUUUAUUUUGCAACUCUAGUUUAAACAUAUCAAAGUAGUCAUAUUAUCUGAUUCUAACCUUUUUAGCUCACCUGAGCUUGCUCAGGGUGAGCUAUUAGGAUCGGUGAAUGUCCGUCGUCCGUCGUACGUCCACAAUUGCUUGUGAACACUCUAGCGGUCACAUUUUUGAACCAAUCAUCAUCAAACUUUGUCAGGAUGCUUGUUUAGUCAAUUGCUUGGAUGAGUUCGAACAUGGGUCAUCUCCGAUGAAAAUCUAGGUCACAGGAGCUAUAAAUAGAAAAACCUUGUGAACACUCUAGCGGUCACAUUUUUGAACCAAUCAUCAUCAAACUUGGUCAGAAUGCUUGUCUAGUCAAUUGCUUGGAUGAGUUCGAACAUGGGUCAUCUCUGAUGAAAAACUAGGUCACAGGAGCCAAAAAUAGAAAAACCUUGUGAACACUCUAGUGGUCACAUUUUUGACCCAAUCAUCAUCAAACUUAGUCAGGAUGCUUCUCUAGUUGAUAGCUCGGAUGAGUUCAAACAUGGGUCAUCUCGGAUGAAAAAGUAGGUCACCGGAGCUAAAAAUAGAAAAACCUUGUUAACACUCUAGCGGUCACAUUUUUGCAUCAAUCAUCAUCAAACUUGGUCAAGAUGCUUGUCUAGGUGAUAGCUCGGAUGAGUUGGAACAUGGGUCAUCUCGGGUGAAUAAGUAGGUCACCGGUGCUAAAAAUAGAAAAACCUUGUUAACACUCUAGCGGUCACAUUUUUGCAUCAGUCAUCAUCAAACUUGGUCAAGAUGCUUGUCUAGGUGAAAGCUCGGAUGAGUUCGAACAUGGGUCAUCUCGGAUGAAAAACUAGGUCACAGGAGCUAAAAAUAGAAAAACCAUGUUAACACUCUAGAGGUCACAAUUUUGCCUCAAUCAUCAUCAAACUUGGUCAGGAUGCUUGUCUAGGUGAAAGCUCUGAUGAGUUUGAACAUGGGUCAUCUCGGAUGAAAAAGUAGGUCACCGGAGCUAAAGAUAGAAAAACCUUGUUAACACUCUAGCGGUCACAUUUUUGCAUCAAUCAUCAUCAAACUUGAUCAAGAUGCUUGUCUUGGUGAUAGCUCGGAUGAGUUCGAACAUGGGUCAUCUGCGAUGAAAAACUAGGUCACAGGAGCUAAAAAUAGAAAAACCUUGUUAACACUCUAGUGGUCACAAUUUUGACUCAAUUGUCAUCAAACUUGGUCAGGAAACUUGUCUAGGUCAUUGCUGGGAAUAAAUUGAACAUGGGUCAUCUCGGAUGAAAAAGUAGGUCACCGGAGCUAAAAAUAGAAAAAUCUUGUUAACACUCUAGUGGCUACUGUUGUGAUCCAAAUAUUCUGUUAAUUGGUCUGAAAGUUUGUUUUGAUGAUUUCUAAGUCAAGUUAGAACAUGGGUCAUCUUAGAUGAAAAACUAAGUCACACCGCCCAAAUAUGGAAAAACCUUGUUAACAUUCUAGUGGUCACAUUUUCGACUUCAUCAAACUUGGUCAGGAUGCUUGUCUAGGUAAUUGCUUGGAUGAGUUCGAAAUCGCAUGUGGAACUAGGUCACCGGAGCUAAAAAUAGAAAAAUCUUGUUAACACUCUAGUUGCUACUGUUUUGAUCCAAGUAUCCUGGAAAUUGGUCUGAAAGUUUGUUUUGAUGAUUUCUAGGUCAAGUUUUAAUAUGUGUCACCUGGGUAAAAAACUAGGUCGCACUGCUCAAAUAUGGAUAAUCCUUGUUAACACUGUAGUGGUCACAUUUUUAGCUCGACUUUUCUAUGAAAAGGGGAGCUAUCCUACUCGCCCCGGCGUCGGCGUCGGCGUUAGCGUUAGCGUUGGCGUCACACCUUGGUUAAGUUUUUCGUACCACCCCACUUUAUUUCAGAAGUAUUACAAGUAUGGCUUUGAAACUUACCAUACUUGUUCACCAUCAUAACCUCCAUCUACAGACAAGAGUACAUAACUCUGUCAAGGUUUUUGACAGAAUUAUGGCCCUUUUUUGA
Ruditapes philippinarum (Manila clam) is the source of this 7912-nucleotide long non-coding RNA. RefSeq lists it as uncharacterized. Lineage: Eukaryota; Metazoa; Mollusca; Bivalvia; Venerida; Veneridae. The transcript has 2 exons. The record is from RefSeq and is a predicted model, not a curated record.